Molecule: ribosomal RNA, 909 nt
Filed under: uncultured bacterium
Lineage: Bacteria
Description: bacterial SSU rRNA
Rfam family: Bacterial small subunit ribosomal RNA
Source: RNAcentral
AGAAUGAACGCUAGCGGCGUGCUUAACACAUGCAAGUCGUACGAGAACUCUUUAGCUUGCUAAAGACAGUAAAGUGGCGCACGGGUGAGUAACGCGUGGGUAAUCUACCUCUGAAUUUGGGAUAACUCCGCGAAAGCGGGGCUAAUACAGGAUAAUAUUUCAGAAUCUUCGGGUUUUGAAAUCAAAAGUGGCCUCUACAUGUAAGCUACUGUUUGGAGAUGAGCCUGCGUACCAUUAGCUUGUUGGUAGGGUAAUGGCCUACCAAAGCUACGAUGGUUAGCUGGUCUGAGAGGAUGAUCAGCCACACUGGAACUGACACACGGUCCAGACUCCUACGGGAGGCAGCAGUGGGGAAUUUUGCGCAAUGGGGGAAACCCUGACGCAGCAACGCCGCGUGAGUGAUGAAGGCUUUCGAGUCGUAAAGCUCUGUCAAGUGGGAAGAACAUGAAAAAUGUUAAUAUCAUUUUUUACUGACGGUACCACUAAAGGAAGCACCGGCUAACUCCGUGCCAGCAGCCGCGGUAAUACGGGGGGUGCAAGCGUUAUUCGGAAUUAUUGGGCGUAAAGGGCGCGUAGGCGGUCUUUUAAGUCAGAUGUGAAAGCCCGGGGCUUAACCCCGGAAGUGCAUUUGAAACUGAAGGACUUGAGUAUGGGAGAGGGAAGUGGAAUUCCUGGUGUAGAGGUGAAAUUCGUAGAUAUCAGGAGGAACACCGGUGGCGAAGGCGACUUCCUGGACCAAUACUGACGCUGAGGCGCGAAGGCGUGGGGAGUAAACAGGAUUAGAUACCCUGGUAGUCCACGCAGUAAACGAUGAACACUAGGUGUAGCGGGUAUUGACCCCCGCUGUGCCGCAGUUAACGCAUUAAGUGUUCCGCCUGGGGAGUACGACCGCAAGGUUAAAACUCAAGG